CCUACGGGUGGCAGCAGUGGGGAAUAUUGGGCAAUGGGCGCAAGCCUGACCCAGCAACGCCGCGUGAAGGAAGAAGGCCCUCGGGUUGUAAACUUCUUUUAUCAAGGACGAAACAAAUGACGGUACUUGAUGAAUAAGCCACGGCUGACUACGUGCCAGCAGCCGCGGUAAUACGUAGGUGGCAAGCGUUAUCCGGAUUUACUGGGUGUAAAGGGCAUGUAGGCGGGACUGCAAGUCAGAUGUGAAAACCAUGGGCUCAACCCAUGACCUGCAUUUGAAACUGUAGUUCGUGAGGGUUGGAGAGGCAGGCGGAAUGCCGGGUGUAGCGGUGAAAUGCGUAGAUAGACAGAAGAACACCAGUGGCGAAGGCAGCCUGCUGGACAGUAACUGACACUGAGGCGCGAAAGCGUGGGGAGCAAACAGGAUUAGAUACCCCAGUAGUC
RNAcentral lists this ribosomal RNA (443 nucleotides) under uncultured bacterium. RNAcentral describes it as "partial 16S ribosomal RNA". It matches the Rfam family "Bacterial small subunit ribosomal RNA", at positions 338 to 795 of the family's 1533-position model. The record is from RNAcentral.